Molecule: long non-coding RNA, 756 nt
Organism: Haliotis rubra (blacklip abalone)
Lineage: Eukaryota; Metazoa; Mollusca; Gastropoda; Lepetellida; Haliotidae
Exons: 3
Source: RefSeq, a predicted model, not a curated record
AGUGAUCGACAAACGAAGUGUACAACCCAGUUCAGUUUCAACAGAGACCAUAUAUUUUUUGGUGUAGUGUCUGGUUUCAGCAGCAACAGUCUGGGUUACAGAUACAUGUGUUAGAUACAGAUAAUCCAGAUUAAACCAUGGACCCUCUUGUAUGUAAUAGUGAGGUUCAUGUGUCGUGUGGUGUGAGACGAACGUGUUCACCUGGGUGACUUGACAGAUGAAUAAACAAUCAGCAACAAUAUCCCCCUCAUGCAAGAAUACUGUAUAGAUCUAGAAGCUCGUCGUGUUUUCUGGGAGAUCCUUUCAAAACCUAUGUCUGAAGUAAUCAACAAGGAAGGAAUUUAUUGCGUCUCCCUGGAGGAUGAAUAUGUUUAAUGGACUUCCAGAGAACUUGCCAGAACGCAAUAUCGACACAGUUCUUUAUCGUCAGUGUAUGUUUUCGAACGGCAGUGUUCACUUGAACACUAAAACGUGGUGUGUUGCGUAGUACAGACAUUGUAAAGACUCAGAUGAUAGCUUGGGGUUGAGAUGAACUUGUCUUUUAUGAGUUAGUGAGAUGUUUUACAGUUGUUAAUGUGAUGCCCCAAAAGCAAGGGGUGAAAGGGACAUGUAUGCUUGAUGUCGAGAUUAUAGAAGGAUAGACUCUGUUAGUGUAAUUCAGUGCGUGGUGUCGACAUGAAUAUUUGAAUUUUCCAUUGGAAAAUGUACGUGCCUUGAAAAACAAUAAACCCAUUUUGGAAGAGCUUUAUGUAUGGA